AGAAUCAACGCUGGCGGCGUGCCUAACACAUGCAAGUCGAACGAGAAAGUGGUAGCAAUACCAUGAGUAAAGUGGCGCACGGGUGAGUAACACGUGACUAACCUACCCUGGAGUGGGGGAUAACUGAGGGAAACCUUAGCUAAUACCGCAUAAUACCUACGGGUCAAAGGAGCAAUUCGCUUUGGGAGGGGUCGCGGCUGAUUAGCUAGUUGGCGGGUAAUGGCCCACCAAGGCGAUGAUCGGU
This 244-nucleotide ribosomal RNA is filed under the name uncultured bacterium. RNAcentral describes it as "partial small subunit ribosomal RNA". It matches the Rfam family "Bacterial small subunit ribosomal RNA", at positions 26 to 284 of the family's 1533-position model. The record is from RNAcentral.